Long non-coding RNA from Octopus sinensis (East Asian common octopus), 566 nucleotides. RefSeq lists it as uncharacterized. The transcript has 4 exons. NCBI's taxonomy places the organism in Eukaryota, Metazoa, Mollusca, Cephalopoda, Octopoda, Octopodidae. The record is from RefSeq and is a predicted model, not a curated record.
UCUCUACUGGCACACUAUUCAAAAUUUUAUUUAUCUCCGCUUUCUAUGCGCGACUUUCUGGAAUUUGGUUGAAAUGUUAAAUUACAAACCAGGGAGUAAAUCUUGUCCAAAAACCUCUUUUCUAUUUUUGACUAAAGAACUACCUGCCCGUUUUGCAAAUAUGUAUUUGGAAAUAUCCCAUCUUCCUCGAGAUCUCCUUAAUAUAAAGCAAAUAAUGUCAUUACAAAAUCUUUAUCAACAAAGUUUUCUAAAAAUUGUGGACUAUGUGAACAAAAAUCCAGAAAAGCCUGAUUUAUUAGAAAAGUAAUAUUAUUUUUCCAUUGCAGGUUUAACCAGUGUAUUCAACAAAUAAGCUCCGAACAUUCCGAGAUUGUGACGACCAUGUCUCAAGGUGUUGUUGAAUAUCGAGACAAAUUCGGAUUUUCUUAUGAAAUACACAAUUUCCUCGAUCGUUUUUACACCAGCAAAAUCGGCAUAAAAAUGCUCCUAAAUAUGCAUAUCAGAUUGUUUGGAAUUAACUCCAACGAUGGAAAUGUCGGCUGUAUCGACCCAAACUGUGACAUCCU